This 346-nucleotide unclassified non-coding RNA is filed under the name uncultured Sebacinales. Its description in RNAcentral is "sequence contains ITS1". The stretch from base 1 to 105 matches the Rfam family "5.8S ribosomal RNA", at positions 50 to 154 of the family's 154-position model. Lineage: Eukaryota; Fungi; Basidiomycota; Agaricomycetes; Sebacinales. The record is from RNAcentral.
GAAAUGCGAUAAGUAAUGUGAAUUGCAGAAUUCAGUGAAUCAUCGAAUCUUUGAACGCACCUUGCACCCUUUGGUAUUCCGAAGGGUACACCCGUUUGAGUGUCAUUGUAAUCUCACUCCAAUACCUUUAUUGAUGUUGGAUGUGGACUUGGAUGUUGUCGUGUUCAACGACUCGUCUUAAAUGCCUGAGUGUACCCUGCUUUGCAGCGUAUCAGUGUGAUAAACAUCUUCACUGUUAAGUCUUUCGGGACACGCUUGUGUUGUAGGCUCUAUGCUUUCUAACCGUCCUCUGGACAAUCUCUGACAAUUUGACCUCAAAUCGGGUGGGACUACCCGCUGAACUUAA